Oenanthe melanoleuca is the source of this 1060-nucleotide long non-coding RNA. RefSeq lists it as uncharacterized. NCBI's taxonomy places the organism in Eukaryota, Metazoa, Chordata, Aves, Passeriformes, Muscicapidae. The transcript is spliced from 6 exons. The record is from RefSeq and is a predicted model, not a curated record.
UGUCCUGUUAGUGGUGUCAUUAGUGGAAAAAUAAACCCAGCCUACUCCUUCAUGCCAUGUUUUCUUUGUGUCUCUACUCAUGCCUCUGGAAAGGACAAUGCUACAUUUGUGGUCACAAGACUUGUCAGCAAACAGAUGCCUUUGUGAAAACAGCUCCUGCUUUACACUUCAAAACCGAGAAACUACUUUAAAGGACAAAAUUUUGCACUGAUGGAAGGAUUUAACUCAAGUCGAGAAGGCAUGUCCAGAUAUAGGAGGAGGAAUAAACUCACUCCUUGCAACUUAACCACACACAGUUUCAUGCGUGGCUGCUUGGAUUUCAGGGACUUUCUUUGUGUUGGUAGAGGGGACAAUGCACCCCAGCUUGAUGGAUUGCAAGAGGAGCAGCUCACCACUAGAAAGAUGCCAGAGCUCUACACCAAAAAAAUAAAGAACCCACUCACGGGCUGCAACAGCUUUUGCUAAAUGGAGUUCCAGUGCAAUGGCAAGGGCAUGACAGCUUGGGAACCUGAGAGUCUCUCUUGGAAAAGUGCUUCUCUGGCCUGAAUGACAGUUCCUGUGGGUUUCCUGUAACAACAGUCUCUGCCAAAUUAACAGCUUAAAUGCCACAUAGAGACACCCUCCCCAUGCUUUAAGAUUUCCUGCCUGGCAUGCUGGCUCUGAAGAGCACUUAAUUUCUUGGAUCACCUGCUCAUAUCACAACUAUCAUAAAGAUUUAUGUAAACAGGGAGUAAAAACAAGUGCAUUUAUUUGAGGUUUUUUUUUUUUUUUCUAGUGUUACAAGGAAACCAGGAAGGAUAGGGACAGCUCAAAAAAACCAAGUUUUUUUGCUUAUUAUUGUUUUUUGCUUAUUAUUGUUUAUUAUCUUUCUCAGGCAAAUAGUUUUAUGCAGAAGGCUACCCCUGGAAAUAGAAACAUGUUUUAUGUUGGCAGUUGCAAAAGUUUUUUCACAAAUCUGAGAGUUACUAAUAUUUAACAGGAGAAAUUAAAUAAAUAAAAAAAACAAAGCUGAGCUUUUCCUCCUAAGUGCACUGUUGAACUAAGGAAAAAUUCAAAUGUC